This 253-nucleotide ribosomal RNA is filed under the name uncultured bacterium. Its description in RNAcentral is "partial 16S ribosomal RNA". It matches the Rfam family "Bacterial small subunit ribosomal RNA", at positions 524 to 776 of the family's 1533-position model. The record is from RNAcentral.
UACGAAGGGGGCUAGCGUUGCUCGGAAUUACUGGGCGUAAAGGGCGCGUAGGCGGCCCGCUAAGUCGAACGUGAAAUCCCCAGGCUCAACCUGGGAACUGCGUCCGAUACUGGCAGGCUUGAAUCCGGGAGAGGGAUGUGGAAUUCCAGGUGUAGCGGUGAAAUGCGCAGAUAUCAGGAGGAACACCGGUGGCGAAGGCGGGUCUCUGGGCCGAUACUGACGCUGAGGAGCGAAAGCGUGGGGAGCGAACAGG